GUCCUCAGCGACGGACCG
Molecule: small nuclear RNA, 18 nt
Filed under: Arabidopsis thaliana (thale cress)
Lineage: Eukaryota; Viridiplantae; Streptophyta; Magnoliopsida; Brassicales; Brassicaceae
Description: snRNA_02264
Source: RNAcentral